This 108-nucleotide ribosomal RNA is filed under the name uncultured bacterium. RNAcentral's name for it is "partial 16S ribosomal RNA". It matches the Rfam family "Bacterial small subunit ribosomal RNA", at positions 1392 to 1500 of the family's 1533-position model. The record is from RNAcentral.
GCCCGUCACACCAUGAGAGUUGGGAAUACCCGAAGCCCUGUGAGCUAACUUUAGAGGCAGCAGUCGAAGGUAGAAUCAAUGAUUGGGGUGAAGUCGUAACAAGGUAUC